GAUAUGACUGACGUAUGACGUGACGUUUUCAAAUUAAACGUGUGUAAAGGUUUAUAAUUUAUUAUAUUCUGCUUCACUAAAAACCCUACAUGAGGCUAGUGGUACAAUGGGAAGUAUCCUCCCAUGCUAUCUACAUUGGUUUAAGAAGGGGGAUGUAGACGUAGGUUGUAACUAUUUAGGAGUAAAGUCAGUGUAGGGAGACACCUCACCGAGUGCAAACGGCCUUGUGUCGUCGACAGACACUCGAAAGAAAAGUUGCUGGUAAUACAAAUAAACACACACUGAAACACAUAUUUAUUUGGAAAGCCAGCAAGUUUUCUUCCCCUACUGUGUGUGCCGGUCGACGACUAGGCGCUUCUUCUGUUCGGUGAGCAGUCUCUUGUACGUGUAAAUAUUUACGUUCUACCACAACUUUCGUUAUCAUACGGAUGUGUACGUAGUUGUUUUACUAAAGACCCCAUGACUUGAAGAAGCGCUUAAAGCACAUUAAUUGUAUGGGAUAUUCCGUGUAUGGUAGGGCACCCGAUAUUUAAAAGUUUAAAAUUCGGUACUUUUUAUUUAUUUUUUUUUAAGAUUGGACUUUUUAAUGUAUGGUAACAAUAGUUUUUGGUCCAUUAUUGCUUUCCCUCCAUAAUUUGUAGCCAUGUUUAUUAUUCCAUAUGUUUUGAAUACGAUGAGAGUGUGAAUUAUUGGAGAUUUUGGACCUUCAUUUGAACUAAUUGGCAGGUUAGAAGAAGAUGACGUCCUCAGCAACAGCAGAGAGACAGAGCAGGAGGGAAAAGUUAAAAAGUGAACGAAAAUAUGAAGAAUUUAAGAAGAAGCUUGAAAAAGUCAGCAGAAGCAAAAACAAAAGUUUUUACAAUUGGGUCAACAUGAUCAACGACUGUUAUUAGAAGAAAGAAGAGCUAAAGCUAGGGACAGAGUUAGAAAACAUAAGAUGCAAGAUCAACAGCCUAGUAAAUCAGGUUUGUCACUGUAUAAGUCACAUAUUGCUCUGGUUAAAGCCAUGGCUCGUGUGUUGCAGUUGUGUACAUUAACAAGGCACUGUCUACUAUACCUGAAAAUGUGAAGGUAGUUUCAAUAUGGUCAGAUGGACUUGUCUCACAAUUUAAAAACAAAUAUAUUAACACUGCUGUACCUCAGUUUCAAUCAUUACAUGAUGGUGGAAAUCGAUUGGACCGUAUUCACCACAUACCAUGCUAAAGGAGCUGUAUGUAGAUGGAAUUGGUGCAGUUGCAGAAUAGCAAGUGUGGAAUGCAGUAAAAAAAGCGAAAAUUCAUAGUUGAUGCAUCAUCUACUCACGCAGCUGCAAGUACCACAACUAUGCAGGUUUUUCCUAUAUCUCUUCAUGAAAUUCAAGGAAUCAAUGUGUAACUUAAUCUGGCACAAAUAUUUUCUUCAGCACCAUCAGUAUCAAACAUAAAAAUCAUUCACUGCUUUCACUUCAAGAAAGGAACACAAAAAAUAUCUGCUGUCACCAAAGAAUUUCGCUGCUGCAGAUACUGAAGAAACUAUAGGAAGUGUGAAAAUUUAAGACUGGUACAAAGUAGAAUAUGACAGUAAAUUCAAUGCUGCAAAAGUACGUGCAAUUUUUGGAAAUUCUUACCUAAUCUGUACAAUGGAGUGUGCUGGUAACAUUGGAAAUGGCCUGUAAAAUGUAUUGAAAUUAUAAAGAAAAGUAAUCUGCUUGA
Molecule: long non-coding RNA, 1691 nt
Organism: Schistocerca americana (American grasshopper)
Lineage: Eukaryota; Metazoa; Arthropoda; Insecta; Orthoptera; Acrididae
Exons: 2
Source: RefSeq, a predicted model, not a curated record